UACGGAGGGUGCGAGCGUUAUCCGGAUUCACUGGGUUUAAAGGGUGCGUAGGUGGGCUUGUAAGUCAGUGGUGAAAUCUCCGGGCUUAACCUGGAAACUGCCAUUGAUACUAUAGGUCUUGAAUUUUCUGGAGGUAAGCGGAAUAUGUCAUGUAGCGGUGAAAUGCUUAGAUAUGACAUAGAACACCAAUUGCGAAGGCAGCUUGCUACAGGAAUAUUGACACUGAGGCACGAAAGCGUGGGGAUCAAACAGG
This 253-nucleotide ribosomal RNA is filed under the name uncultured bacterium. RNAcentral describes it as "partial 16S ribosomal RNA". It matches the Rfam family "Bacterial small subunit ribosomal RNA", at positions 524 to 776 of the family's 1533-position model. The record is from RNAcentral.